UACAGAGGUGGCAAGCGUUGUUCGGAAUUACUGGGCGUAAAGAGCGUGUAGGCGGCCCGAUAAGUCCGCCGUGAAAGUCCAGGGCUCAACCCUGGGAUGCCGGUGGAAACUGUCGGGCUAGAGUCCGGAAGAGGCGAGUGGAAUCCCUGGUGUAGCGGUGAAAUGCGCAGAUAUCAGGAGGAACACCAAUGGCGAAGGCAGCUCGCUGGGACGGUACUGACGCUGAGACGCGAAAGCGUGGGGAGCAAACAGG
Molecule: ribosomal RNA, 253 nt
Filed under: uncultured bacterium
Lineage: Bacteria
Description: partial 16S ribosomal RNA
Rfam family: Bacterial small subunit ribosomal RNA
Source: RNAcentral